AUGAAAAAGGACUGCACUGGCUAUAAAAAUUGGUUAGCCAAAAAGGGGAUUCAUAAGGAGGAGAAUCCCAAAAAGUGAUGAAGUGAACCUGUGUGUAGGCAAUGGCAUGAGAGUGGCAAUCAAGACUAUUGGAACCUUAAAGCUCGAUUAGGAUUAGGAAAAUUGUUAGUUUUGGAUAAUGUUUUUUAUGUACCUUCCGUGAGAAGGAAUUUGGUUUCAGUUUCUCUUUUAGUAAAAUCUGGUUGUAGACUUG
This 253-nucleotide long non-coding RNA is filed under the name Rosa chinensis. RNAcentral's name for it is "sRNA RchiOBHm_Chr2g0162791". The record is from RNAcentral. Lineage: Eukaryota; Viridiplantae; Streptophyta; Magnoliopsida; Rosales; Rosaceae.